GGGGCGUUAGAGUAGUGGUCUAACUCGUCACCCUUUCAAGGUGAAGAUCAGGGGUUCGAAUCCCCUACGCCCUACCA
This 77-nucleotide transfer RNA is filed under the name Chloroflexota bacterium. RNAcentral describes it as "Chloroflexi bacterium (sediment metagenome) tRNA-Glu". It matches the Rfam family "tRNA". Rfam says of the family: Transfer RNA (tRNA) molecules are approximately 80 nucleotides in length. Their secondary structure includes four short double-helical elements and three loops (D, anti-codon, and T loops). Lineage: Bacteria; Bacillati; Chloroflexota. The record is from RNAcentral.